GUGUGGGUCUGAACUAAGAAAUGCUGUUGCAACUUGAGGCUUUCUGACAGACAUAUGUAGGAUGCGACAUCCUGCGAUGCAUUGAUCCAUGCCCUGAAGAUAUCCAGCAGGUUGUAAAGGCCCUCAUUUUACUAAAGAGCUUUACAGUGUGACACCUUAUUGUAAUUAUUGACACAGGCAGCAAAAGUCACCUUUUAAUAGUUGCCCACCAUUUCUCAUGAUCAAGUUCAAUUUUCGUUUCUUGUAUCUCAUUUCAUUAAAACUCCAUGACUCCGUGCUGAAAUUUUUCCAUUCUGAACAUCUGCCUUGAGGUAAUGAGGUGUGUAAACUGUACUUUGGCCAAAAAAUUAUUCUUUGUUGGCUCCACCCUCUCACAUUUUUCCACUUUAAGGUUUUCAGAGAUGACUGGAUACAGGUGGCCUGGACUUCUUUUUUUUUUCUGAUGGGGAAAGGAACCAGAUGGAAACCAAGUUGAGAAGGAACAAUGGAACAAUUAAAUGCGUUCUUGAGAGUACUACAAAAUGCCAGGGGGUAGCCUAACAGAUAAGUGCUCUCUGGAGUUGUGGAAAACUAAAAAGCUGCAUUCCUACUAUUUAACUGCAUUAAAUUGGGUUAAACGUAAGAUCUUGCUCCCUUUUUCCUUGUUCACUGUCAGCUGCCUGGCCCCGCUGCUUCUGAUCUGUCAGUGUUGGCAGCUGAAAGACUAUGUAGCGAACCAAUUCAGGAGACUGAUGUGCCUGAAAACUAAUCUGUCAGAAUAUAAAAGUUUUCAGGUCACUGCAUAGCUGCCUGAAGACUAGUACUCACCAGGAGGUGACAGGUAUAUGUGGCUGGCUGAGCCAAAAAGCUCAAGGUUCAGGUUCAUGGAACUUGCUUAGUGUGUGUGCAUGUAAAAUAUUGGCUAAUUUUUAACUAGUAUUUCCAAGAAAUCUCUGUGAACUACAGGUGUGGAGAGUGGACAGCCUUACAAGUGUUGAAAGUUGUGUUGAUUGUUACUAUGUCAAAUGUUCUUUGCCUGAAAUCUUCAUAUUCCUGUGGACCUGAAGCUGUGUCAAACCUGGCCAGGGCCCCUGGCACACUGGUGUGUGCUGUGGAAUACACUGCCAUGGCAAAGUGGUGAGGUUUGGUCUGAAUCAUUAUUUAUUUAUUUAUUUAUUUUUAAUGUAGAUCAGCCAUGUCCAAAGGAAACGACCACAAAACACAAAAGACUGUGAGAAUGUUUGAUCCCAGGCAUUAAACUUUGGCAACGUAGUCCCUGACCAGCACGUUGGAAAAGGGGCUCAAAGCUUAUCUGGCAAGUUAAUCUGUCUGUGUCAGGGACAUAUCCUGUUGCUCUGGUGAAAGUGAGCUGAAGGCAACUAAACUGUAAGCAAUCAAAAAAGAUUCCUGUUUCCUACAAAAGAACUUGACUGAUGGGCUUUCUCCUCAAACUUAUGGGCCGUAGAGUUGGGUUGGUUUUGUGUUUGUUUUUUUUUUUUUACUUUUUCAUUAAUUACUUUUCCAGAACAAGUCUGUGUAGGUGAGCUGAGGUGCUGUCUAGCUGAUUUUUUUUUAAUAGCCACUUGGCUCUAGGGGACACCAGGUGCUCAGAUGUAUGAGUAAAACUGUCCACACCCUUGUGAGUUACUGCUGGAUUAACUUUGCCUGUGCAUAGCAUGUUGCAAAACUGCAGAAAAGUGCACUAUAGCUGCCUGUGACAGAGGCUGAGCCAAGUGCAUUUUACCUCACAUUAACCUUCAGAUAAGAUGGUGUAAUUUGCUGCAAGAUGAAUUACUGCUACUCUGUUGACAGACUAGUUAUGCUGUGAUGACUUGCUGAUGUGUUUGAACUGUAAAAUCAGACAAAGGGAAGUAGAAAAUUGAGGCAAGGAAGGUAGGAUUAGGCACUAGUCGAGAGCAAAUAGUAGCUGGACAAAGAAAAUAUGGAUUGGACAUGAAAGCGUAAUUUCAGAGGAGAAACCUGGCUGGCUGAGCAAAGAAAAAUUAGUAGGAGGGUGGGGUGGUAGAGAACCAGUGUGCAGUGGGUGGAGGGAGAGACAGGGUGAGCAGCCAAUAGAGCAGAACUGAAGUGGUCUGGACAAGAAAAUGGGAGACCUAGGUGAGGAGCUGAAAAUGUGGGGAACGGUGUGGAAAGACAGGAUUACAGAGGAUAUGGCAAAGAACUUGAGCUAAACAGAUGAUGAGUCUCUCUACUCUGUUUUCCUUCUGUCCUCUAAAACCUGGGAGGGAACUGGGUUUCUUGUAUGUAAAUUUUACCCUGCAGUCCAUGAGGAUUUGUGAGACCCUGGCAAGAUGUCAUCCAUCUGGCUUUAAGCUUCAUUACAUAGAUCGUCCUCAUCUGCUGUUAGCAGGUAUCAAAUGACAGCACUGUUGUGGUGCUGGGUGCAUGUGAUGCUUCGUGGUGGCAUUUUUCUAGUUAUUAAAAAAAAAAAAAUCUAAGUUACAGGCAACAAGGUUAUAGCGUUAAAAGCACUGUUGAGGCUUUGACGGCAGGAAAUCCCCAAAGUAAUCUGUUUAAAAUUAGUAACCGUUAGUGUGUCAUUUCCCAUUUUUGCCACAAGAUGUCACAAUUCCUCCAUGUAUGGUCCUGUCCAUCCCAGGCUCUAGCCUGGGCGCCUCCAGUUCAGCUCUUGUAUUUAAAUGUGAAAGGAUAUAAAAUGAAUUCGGCGGUUGGACCCAUCCAAGGUAUGUGGUUCAAAAGAAGCAGGAAAGCAGCAGCAGCAAAAGGAUGCAGUCAACGUGGUUGCUAGAUUUUUAAUCCAGAAGAAGGGAGCCUUCCUUCCAGCCCACCAG
Long non-coding RNA from Neopelma chrysocephalum (saffron-crested tyrant-manakin), 2792 nucleotides. RefSeq lists it as uncharacterized. The record is from RefSeq and is a predicted model, not a curated record. The transcript has 2 exons. NCBI's taxonomy places the organism in Eukaryota, Metazoa, Chordata, Aves, Passeriformes, Pipridae.